CCUACGGGAGGCAGCAGUGAGGAAUAUUGGUCAAUGGACGAGAGUCUGAACCAGCCAAGUAGCGUGAAGGAUGACUGCCCUAUGGGUUGUAAACUUCUUUUAUAUGGGAAUAAAAUGUUCCACGUGUGGGAUUUUGUAUGUACCAUAUGAAUAAGGAUCGGCUAACUCCGUGCCAGCAGCCGCGGUAAUACGGAGGAUCCGAGCGUUAUCCGGAUUUAUUGGGUUUAAAGGGUGCGUAGGUGGAUUGUUAAGUCAGUUGUGAAAGUUUGCGGCUCAACCGGAAAAUUGCAGUUGAAACUGGCAGUCUUGAGUGCAGUAGAGGUGGGCGGAAUUCGUGGUGUAGCGGUGAAAUGCUUAGAUAUCACGCAGAACUCCGAUUGCGAAGGCAGUUCACUGGACUGCAACUGACACUGAGGCUCGAAAGUGUGGGUAUCAAACAGGAUUAGAUACCCCUGUAGUC
Molecule: ribosomal RNA, 460 nt
Filed under: uncultured bacterium
Lineage: Bacteria
Description: partial 16S ribosomal RNA
Rfam family: Bacterial small subunit ribosomal RNA
Source: RNAcentral